GAUCAUGGCUCAGGAUGAACGCUAGCUACAGGCUUAACACAUGCAAGUCGAGGGGAAACGACAUCGAAAGCUUGCUUUUGAUGGGCGUCGACCGGCGCACGGGUGAGUAACGCGUAUCCAACCUGCCCAUCACUUGGGAAUAACCUUGCGAAAGUAAGACUAAUGCCCAAUGAUAUCCCACGAAGGCAUCCGAAUGGGAUUAAAGAUUUAUCGUGAUGGUAGUGGGGUAGUGCGU
This 235-nucleotide ribosomal RNA is filed under the name uncultured bacterium. Its description in RNAcentral is "partial 16S ribosomal RNA". It matches the Rfam family "Bacterial small subunit ribosomal RNA", at positions 15 to 238 of the family's 1533-position model. The record is from RNAcentral.